UUAAGUACCAGCUGAUGCAGCAGUUUUCUGCAACAGUAAAAGAUAGAAAUUUUUUAAAAUUGGAUUUAUUGGGAUGAGCAAGUUCUAUUAAGUAGCUAGAUUAAAUACAGGAUAUAAAAUUUUCUUGCCAGAUUUUGCUGAGAAAUUCAGAAUCAGACCAGAGAGCUGUACUAGUACUGCCACAUGCAAAGCUGAAGAAGAGCCACACAACAUUUCUCAGUUCUCCAUAAUUAAAUUAAAGAAGAUAAUUGUGACAGCAGGCCUGUUUAUGUGGAGAUGAUAAUCUGCAGGCCAAAAAAAAAUGGGAAAAAAAUAUUGGACUACAAAGAGGAGAUACAAGUUCAAGCCUUGAAGAAGAACUACUGAGGCUUUAGGUUGCAUAUUAUCAGAAGAGGAAAGCCUGAAAACCAGAGAAAUCACUCAAUGUAAAUCCAACACAUGAUCAGAUCUGCCCUUCGUACCCAUACUACAGAACUUUGCUCUAGCAGCCAACCUAGCGAGGAUAGCAAGAUACCAUCACUGUGUUCUCUAUCACAACUAAGCCAAUAAAAAAGAAACAUGAUGCAGACCAGAUCUGCUGAGGAGUCAAGGGCUGGGUGGUUCGUCUUCAUCCUUGCUUUUUCCCAACCAAGCAAAUCUCACAGUCUGUCAAGUUUGGGGAGAUCUACUUUAGGAAGAAGGGCUGCAGUAAUUGUGAGCCUUUCUAGCAAUUUUAGGUGGAUCACCCAUGUAGCGUAUACGAUGUUGUGGUGGUUUUACCCAGCUGAGCAGCUGAACUUCACCACAAACUCUCUCUCAUGGGCUGCAGCUCCAGCCCAGGGUUUGCUCCUGUGGGGGCUCACCAUGGGCUGCAGCCUCCUCCAAGCCACAUCCACCUGCUCCACCGGGGGCUCCUCCAGGGGCUGCAGUGUG
Molecule: non-coding RNA, 912 nt
Organism: Anas platyrhynchos (mallard)
Lineage: Eukaryota; Metazoa; Chordata; Aves; Anseriformes; Anatidae
Source: RefSeq, a predicted model, not a curated record